RNAcentral lists this unclassified non-coding RNA (225 nucleotides) under Hevea brasiliensis (rubber tree). Lineage: Eukaryota; Viridiplantae; Streptophyta; Magnoliopsida; Malpighiales; Euphorbiaceae. The record is from RNAcentral.
GAUGUUGAUGAUGAUGCCACUGCAAUGAACUUAUCUAACGAAACAGUUUCUGAUCCUUGUUCCAAGAACAGUCCCUGAAUAUAUGAUGGACAGGAACAAAGUUUUAGGGAAAUUUUCUUUUGCAUGAAACAAUUGGGUGGAGCUGAUUCCAGGAUCACCACGAUUUCAAGUGUUGCUGACUGAUUGCAGCAAGAGCAAAUGUAUCAUUGCUUAAAUGUUCAAGGU